Molecule: long non-coding RNA, 397 nt
Organism: Pseudophryne corroboree (corroboree frog)
Lineage: Eukaryota; Metazoa; Chordata; Amphibia; Anura; Myobatrachidae
Exons: 3
Source: RefSeq, a predicted model, not a curated record
CUAAUCAUCCGUGUAUUCAGGGGCCCUGCUGUUCAUGGACAUUAUACCCAUGCCAUAGCCGGAACAGAAGACAGCAACCACAAAGGGGUGAGCCACGAAGUCAUGUGGUCUUCAGGAAGACUUUGGAUCUGGCCUCCUCAAAUCCUUGGUUGUAGGGCAAAACUGACUGGUGGGUUGCAGCUUGCUGAAUAAGCUGAUAUUCAGCAGUAAUCAUGCAACAUCAUCAUUAUGUGGAAUAUGAACAUUGCUUUAUAUAGUAUACUGUAUGUAAUUCUCUUUAUUGGCCAUCACCCUAAAUAAUAUGACAUUCCUAUAUGACAAUUAAUAUUAGAAAAAGAGAAACAAAAGAGAAGUAAAAUAAGAAAACAAGAGAAGACGAGAAAAGAAAAACACUGAA